This 284-nucleotide unclassified non-coding RNA is filed under the name Hevea brasiliensis (rubber tree). The record is from RNAcentral. Lineage: Eukaryota; Viridiplantae; Streptophyta; Magnoliopsida; Malpighiales; Euphorbiaceae.
AAGCUCUGCUAUCUCGCGUCUCAGCGCGAGCUUCUCCGCGAAAUUCCGGGUGACGUCGCGUAGAACGGCAACCGUUCCGUCAGGCAGACCGCGUUCGUCGCGUAGCAUCACGAUCGUAAAUUCAACGGAGAUGCGCUGACCGCUUUUGGUUAGUGCCGGAACCGAGAGCAGAUCGCCAGUGCCAUAGCGGCUUACGCCGGUCUCCAUCGUGUGCCGAUAACCGGCCCAGUGGCGCGCUCUGAGAUUCUCGGGGAUGAUGAAAUCGAGCGGCUGCCGCAUUGCUU